AGUCCCGUGGUGUAGUGGUCAAGCAUAGGAGCCUCUGGAGCUUCAGACGGCGGUUCGAAUCCGCUCGGGACUA
RNAcentral lists this transfer RNA (73 nucleotides) under Candidatus Aenigmatarchaeota archaeon. RNAcentral describes it as "tRNA-Gln". It matches the Rfam family "tRNA". From Rfam's summary of the family: Transfer RNA (tRNA) molecules are approximately 80 nucleotides in length. The record is from RNAcentral. Lineage: Archaea; Nanobdellati; Candidatus Aenigmatarchaeota.